Molecule: long non-coding RNA, 216 nt
Organism: Microtus oregoni (creeping vole)
Lineage: Eukaryota; Metazoa; Chordata; Mammalia; Rodentia; Cricetidae
Exons: 3
Source: RefSeq, a predicted model, not a curated record
GCAUUCAGUUCCUGGUGUUUGGACUGAGUUGAGCUUAUGGAUUCCCGGAGUGUAAAGUAAAGGGUUUAAUCUUUGCAACCCAGAAGCAGGAGUUUUAAGGAAGAACCCAGUGUGCUGUGAUGUCUGCCAGACUGAGCAGAACGUUGGGACAUUAAGGUCUGAAGAGCAGUCAGUGUUCCCUGCCCUGUGGAAAGUCCAAAGUCCUCCCCCCUCCAU